AUAAUACUCCCUCCAUUUCAAAAAAUUUGUCUUAGAUUUGUGUAGAUAUGAAUGUAUCUAAUCACAUUUUAGUAUUUAGAUACAUUCAUUUCUAGAUAAACCUAAGACAAGAAUUUUGGGACGUGGGGAGUAAGUA
Molecule: non-coding RNA, 136 nt
Organism: Hordeum vulgare subsp. vulgare (domesticated barley)
Lineage: Eukaryota; Viridiplantae; Streptophyta; Magnoliopsida; Poales; Poaceae
Source: Rfam